AGGCUUGCUGAGAUGUACAAAAACAAGAACAUAACACAGCAGGUGUCUCCAGACAGACAACUUCCCAUGGGUGCCCUUCUCAACAGCAGGCCCAGAGGACAUCUUAUAGGACAGCAACUCUCAGCUGUUUUCAUUCUUUAUCCUGCCCUGGUGUCUCUCACUGAUGUAGUAACAUCACUGAGAUGUUGGAGCAAAUGCUCCAAGGACAACCUGCUGUGGUUGAAAGGGGAUGCAGCCCAGGACUGGAGCAAACUGAGACACUUCAGACCAAAGCAAACCCCUUGCCUACCUCGCCAUGCCUCCUCAGAAAGACCUUCCACGUGAACGAGACAUAUGAUGUAUGAUGUCAGUGAUGCAAAGAAGUUUUUUCCUCAAGAUGUAUCAAAUAUUUGGGUCAAAAAAGAAAGGGUAUAACUCUCUGGUGUUGGAGGAGUGCUCAGCACAGCCUGUACGUGCUCACAAGGGCAGAUUUUACCCACGGCAGAGCCAGAGCAGAUCCAAAUGAAGGACAAAGGUAUUUGCUCUG
Long non-coding RNA from Pogoniulus pusillus (Red-fronted tinkerbird), 526 nucleotides. RefSeq lists it as uncharacterized. The transcript is spliced from 2 exons. The record is from RefSeq and is a predicted model, not a curated record. NCBI's taxonomy places the organism in Eukaryota, Metazoa, Chordata, Aves, Piciformes, Lybiidae.